AUUCCAGCUCCAAUAGCGUAUUCUAAAGUUGUUGCAGUUAAAAAGCUCGUAGUUGGAUUUCUGUUUUGGAGAAUGGGUCGUGCCUAGACAGGUUCUGUACUUUUUUCUCCGGAACAUCCUCGGAGUGAGCGUGUCUGCAAUUCAUUUUGUGGGCUCGGGACCUUCGUCAUUUACUGUGAGCAAAAUAGAGUGUUCAAAGCAGGCUUACGCCUUGAAUAUACUAGCAUGGAAUAAUAAGAUAGGACUUUGGUCUAUUUUGUUGGUUUACUUUCCAAAGUAAUGAUUAAUAGGGAUAGUUGGGGGUAUUCGUAUUCAAUUGUCAGAGGUGAAAUUCUUGGAUUUAUGGAAGACGAACUACUGCGAAAGCAUUUACCAAGGAUGUUUUCAUUC
RNAcentral lists this ribosomal RNA (390 nucleotides) under Chrysophyceae sp. Its description in RNAcentral is "partial small subunit ribosomal RNA". It matches the Rfam family "Eukaryotic small subunit ribosomal RNA", at positions 582 to 975 of the family's 1831-position model. Lineage: Eukaryota; Chrysophyceae. The record is from RNAcentral.